RNAcentral lists this ribosomal RNA (484 nucleotides) under uncultured bacterium. Its description in RNAcentral is "partial 16S ribosomal RNA". It matches the Rfam family "Bacterial small subunit ribosomal RNA", at positions 30 to 507 of the family's 1533-position model. The record is from RNAcentral.
AUUGAACGCUAGCGGGAUGCUUUACACAUGCCAGUCGAACGGCAGCGCGGACUUCGGUCUGGCGGCGAGUGGCGAACGGGUGAGUAAUGUAUCGGAACGUGCCCAGUAGCGGGGGAUAACUACGCGAAAGCGUAGCUAAUACCGCAUACGCCCUACGGGGGAAAGCAGGGGAUCGUAAGACCUUGCACUAUUGGAGCGGCCGAUAUCGGAUUAGCUAGUUGGUGGGGUAACGGCUCACCAAGGCGACGAUCCGUAGCUGGUUUGAGAGGACGACCAGCCACACUGGGACUGAGACACGGCCCAGACUCCUACGGGAGGCAGCAGUGGGGAAUUUUGGACAAUGGGGGCAACCCUGAUCCAGCCAUCCCGCGUGUGCGAUGAAGGCCUUCGGGUUGUAAAGCACUUUUGGCAGGAAAGAAACGUCGCGGGCUAAUACCCCGUGGAACUGACGGUACCUGCAGAAUAAGCACCGGCUAACUACGUG